UGGGGGGUGGCAGAGAUUAUGCUUUAGGCUGUAAACCUAACUUACGGGCGCUUUCGCCCCCUCCCAA
RNAcentral lists this transfer RNA (67 nucleotides) under Patelloida saccharinoides. RNAcentral's name for it is "tRNA-Tyr". The record is from RNAcentral. Lineage: Eukaryota; Metazoa; Mollusca; Gastropoda; Lottiidae.